RNAcentral lists this unclassified non-coding RNA (349 nucleotides) under soil metagenome. RNAcentral's name for it is "partial contains 5.8S ribosomal RNA, internal transcribed spacer 2, and large subunit ribosomal RNA". The stretch from base 1 to 120 matches the Rfam family "5.8S ribosomal RNA", at positions 35 to 154 of the family's 154-position model. The record is from RNAcentral.
GAUGAAGAACGUAGCGAAAUGCGAUACGUAAUGUGAAUCGCAGAAUUCAGUGAAUCAUCGAGUCUUUGAACGCACAUUGCGCCCCCUGGUAUUCCGGGGGGCAUGCCUGUCCGAGCGUCAUUGCUGCCCUCAAGCACGGCUUGUGUGUUGGGCCUCCGCCCCCCGGCUCCCGGGGGGCGGGCCCGAAAGGCAGCGGCGGCACCGCGUCCGGUCCUCGAGCGUAUGGGGCUUCGUCACCCGCUCCGUAGGCCCGGCCGGCGCCCGCCGGCGACCCCCCUCAAUCUUUCCAGGUUGACCUCGGAUCAGGUAGGGAUACCCGCUGAACUUAAGCAUAUCAAUAAGCGGAGGA